This 1556-nucleotide long non-coding RNA is filed under the name Pomacea canaliculata. Its description in RNAcentral is "uncharacterized LOC112574131". Lineage: Eukaryota; Metazoa; Mollusca; Gastropoda; Architaenioglossa; Ampullariidae. The record is from RNAcentral.
ACAACAAAUAAUUAGAAUUAACAGAUCUAUGAGGCACAUCAGUCGCCUUCAGACUUCACAGAAGUUUCCGUCGGGGCUCGAAGUGUUGUGCACUCUUAUUUAGGACUCUUGUUAAACAAACCUCAUUUUCUCUACAAACAAUGCAGUGUUCUAGUAAUAAAAAGGAAUGUUAUAUUUCUAUGAUUGAAAAAAGAACUUCCAAAUAUGAGCAAAAGGAUGAUCUUUCGGACAUCGUUCUGGUAGUAGAGGACAAGAAGCUUCACGUCAAUAAAGCCUUGUUGAUGAUACAUUCCAAUGUGUUUAAGACAAUGUUCACCGGAUCCUUCAUUGAAAAGGAUUUAUCAGAGAUUCCACUUCCAGGAAAGAAAGUGGAUUUAAUGGUGGAGCUAUUGGACCAUAUCCAUCCCGGAGACACUACUGGCAACUUUAACACUGAAACUCUACGUGAACUUCUCCAACUCGCCGAUGAGUAUGGUGUCCAGCAGGUCUUUCACAACUGCCGAGCAUACUUCGACAGACGCAUAAAUUGCAAGAAUCAAGACAUGAAGAUUAGUGAAAUUUUACUCUUCCUUGGGAUAGUCGAAGAGUGGAGCAACGAAUACGAUCAACUAAGUUCGUUCAGAUCUUAUUUAAUUAGAAAGGCAAGUAGAAUACAAAUGGGUCUUUUGAAAAUUAACAAAUAUUAUUCUUCUCUACCUGCUACAACUCAAAGAGACAUCCUCAUGCGUCAUCUUGAUAGAGUCGAAAGAAUUUAAGAAGUAUAAGACCUAGAGUUAAACAAUUGGCUAGUAGGAUUGAAACUACUGAUGGCUUUUCAUUGUAAUCCUUUGUGAUGAGCCUUUGUGUCAGACACAUCUUAUAAACACCCACAUAAGGUUUUCUGUGAAACAUUUAGGACGAUUCAGAGUUCUGUGAGUCCAUCUCAGCAUUGAUGACAAUUACUUUUGUAACAAGAUCAUAACAUAUAUCGAUCGAUUAUCAUUAAUAUUCAUCAAUUGGAGUAGUUCACGCUGUGUGAGAUUAGUUUGAUGUUACACGGGGUACAAUUAAUCUCAUUAGACUUCAUGCCAGCAGUCUACACAAAAGUUAUAUCGGACCAUUCCUAUGAUAAACUAUAGCACAUGUUGGACGAUACUUUAUAUUAACUGAAACUAUUUUGAUAGUAAAUAUAUUUUGAAAUUUUUAUCUAGAGAUUCUGUGUAUCAUCAGUUUAUAGAUAAACAGAUUUUGCUCCAAGGAACUUACUCUUGCACGGCACACUACAGUUAGUAACUGAAUUUCUAGCCAAGUACUUUUUGUUAUUAAUAUUUUUCCCAAACUGUCUGCUACUCAGUAUUUAGCAACAUUGAAUGCUCAAAUUGCCAACUAUUAUGUUGCACUAACACUUAAUCUUACGGAAGACAUCGUUUAUAUGAGUAGUUUGUGUAGUGGAAGUGAUCAAAGCGAUGUGUAACUAUGUCUGAGAGUAAUAUACCGUAAGUAACACAUUAGUAAGUUUACAUUUGUUUUCAUUCUCAUCUAUUCUAAUAGUAAAUAAAGGUGACUACUUAACUUGC